GUUGAUAUCAAGAAUACAUAUCCUGCGAAUGAAUAAAAGUCAAUUCGGCUUGCCAUAGCCAGCGAGUCUGAGCCAAUCACAAAGUUCAGAACGACUGACGCACAUACGUCAUAUACUUGCAGGCCUUUGUGACGCGCGAGUCGUGAAUCAACUGAUGUUGUGUUUAAAUGAACUCUCUGCGUGAUUUCCCAAGAUUUCCACGCCACGAAAUGUAUGAGGAAAUGUCAGUAGAAAGAAACUGGACGGACACCGAGACGAGAGCGCUGCUGUACAUACGACAGGACGAAGAUAUCAGCAGGCAAAUCAGCGGAACGGUUCGCGAUUCUCUUAUUUACGCUGAAAUCUCAAGGCUUCUCCGCGCGCAAGGUAUCCACAGAACCAAGCGGCAGGUCACCACCAAACUGAAAACACUCAAGCAGAAGUUCCUGAAAAUACACGAGCAUCACAAAAACAACGGGCACGGCAGAGUGUACUGGAAUUAUUAUGAUCUCUGCACGUCCAUUUGGGGCAGCAACCGCCCCGCGGACGCUUUAAUACUUCACAGCAACGUGAAACUCGAAGAGCCGCAGAGUACGUCCAUUGAGGACGCGCGAAAUGAGCGCAGAUCCACCGACAUCGAGGAGGUGUCGGUCAGUCACGACGAGGAGACGGAGGACGUGGCAGACGAGCUGAAACUGAGAAUGAAAGUGCAAUCUCACAUGAAGAAGAGGAGGAGGAGGAAGAGAAAUACGUUAUUCCAGCUGAGAUUGCACCUGUUAACUGUGGAAACGACAGCCAAUCAAACACAGCAGAGACUGUUUCACCCCCGCCUACACAAUCAGCAGGAAAGAGCGAUCUGGAGAUGUCUGUGCUACGCAGACAGGAAAGAGUCUUACAGCUUCAGGAAGAGUACUAUUCACUCAAAAUCAACUAUUUGAAACACAAGAUGACCAAGGAUCCAUGACAGAAUGCUAAAGAGGAGUGUUAACUCUUUUGCUCUUUCAGUCUGUGAAAACUUGCAAUGUAGAUGUUCUCAGCUGGACUGUGGAAAAUACUGGUGUGUAUGCGUCUGCACACCUCAUAUUCCUUAUAACUCUUAUUACAUAUUUUAACCAGUAGAUGGCUAGGUGGUCACUUCAUAUUUCCUGGUGUCAUUAGACAUGUGCAAGACAGAUUUACAGCUAAGGCUUGGUUUUUCUUUAAAUAUAUGAAUAUUUAUAUACAUUUGCUCAUUUUUAUGGCAGUUUACUAGCAGGUGUUUUUGAGGCAUUAUUUAGCAAAACUCUCCAUUUUCUCCACUAAACGUUACUGGUCUUAUUAUAAAAGAUUUAGUUUGUUGUGUAACAAUCAAUCACACAAUUAUGUCACAAUCAAUUUCUGAUGGAUAACAGUCUUGCUUUUUCUUCCCAUCUGAGGUUCUGUUUAGCACAUUAUGGCUGUAAAAUGGGUUGCAAAUGCAGUUUAAUGUUGACUAUAGGAACUACCCUGAGCUAGAUGUUACACUUCUACUGUGGAGUAUGUCUGUUACCAUUAUUUUUCAUUAAAUUAAUGAAAACCAGCGAGGAGUCAGAAACAGUAUGCAAAAUACUAAAUCAAAAGCAAAAGUCUUUUUCAAAGAAUUGUUUAAAGCAGGGAUUCCCAAACUCUUUUUUUAGUCAAACCCCCUUUGAACUAAAAUAUUUUCUUGAGAUUUUAAUUUAUUUGAAGAUUGCAUGUUCACGGUUCUGUGAUGUCAGUUAAUGGUCACAUGGCAUGCAGGUAAACAAAUAAAAUAUUGUUUUUAUUUUGAAGGUAUUUAUUUAAUUUGCAUUAUAAUUUAUAUAUAUAUAUAUAUAUAUAUAUAU
Cyprinus carpio carpio is the source of this 1823-nucleotide long non-coding RNA. The record is from Ensembl. Lineage: Eukaryota; Metazoa; Chordata; Actinopteri; Cypriniformes; Cyprinidae.